Rosa rugosa (rugosa rose) is the source of this 1195-nucleotide long non-coding RNA. RefSeq lists it as uncharacterized. The record is from RefSeq and is a predicted model, not a curated record. The transcript has 2 exons. Lineage: Eukaryota; Viridiplantae; Streptophyta; Magnoliopsida; Rosales; Rosaceae.
CUUCUUCGAGCUCACCGCUGCUCCGUUCACACGAGCCGCACCCAGACACGUGCGAGGAGGAAGCGUGGUUGCUGUUGGCGAGGACCAGCCGCACGUCUGGUAGUUCAGCCCCGUAGAUGCCAUGAGCUACAGAAAAUGUGAAUAUUGCAAGAGUGAAGAAAACAUCAAUUUUGGGCUUUGAAGUGGAGAUUUGGAGUUAGGAAGAAUGACGGUUAAAUGUGGAGCAAAAUGUUAAAUUCUAAAUUCCGACGAACCACCACAAAUAGCGACACAUCACCACUCACGGUGGUGCCAUGUAUUUUCCGGUCAUAUUCAUGGAGGAGCAAGGAGGAUGAGUAUCAUAGCAUCUAUUCUAUUACAUCCAUUCACCAUCAUUCUAUCCUAACUAAAUUCUAAACAUUUUGGUUCCAAUUCAACCAAACACUCAAUAUUACCCAAAAGUCCACAAUCAUCAUCACUUCAAUAUCUAUCAUGCUUUAGGCUUAAUCACUAUCUCUCACUCAUCAUUUUCUACUCUAACCUACACAAUCACUACCAUACUCUUUUCCCUUGAUUUUGGGAUAUAUUAUCACUCUCAUACUCCACCUUCAUGCUUCUUACAAGGCUAUGACUGUUUUCUUUGCCUUCUAAUCACCAUUUCACACAUCUCUCCAUCUAUUUAAGCACCUCUUCUCACAAAGAAGAAAAAAUCACCCAUACCACACCCAUUACAUCUUUUCUUUCUCCAUCUCCACCACAAAACCUCUAUUUUCACCUCCCAAAAUACAAACCCAUAAUAUCCAUACUCCUCAACCUCCAUCUUCCCCACCACUACAACUACUAUCUUCCCCACCACUACUACUCUAUUAUUACCACUCAAAGUUAGUCAAAGGAACAUCAUAUCUUCAUCACCAUUUCAUUCAUUAUCAACAAGAAGUUCAUCAUCUAUCCAUCUAUUCUACCAUCAAGGAGGACUCAAGGAGCAUUAAAGGAGGAAAACGAAGGAGAAGCUACCCAUUGAUUUGUCAAGCUUCAACUAGUUCAUUCUUUCCUUAACUAUUUAAUUUACCUUGAUAUACUUUAUAGAUUUGAUGCUAAUUUGUAUGAUUAUGAGUGAGUAAUUACUUUGUUGGGGCUAGGGUUGAAAGCUCUAGCCAAACUUGUAUGAAUUGAUGUUUUAGUUUACAUUUGAAGUUAUUUGUGAUUUUCAUCUUCA